Molecule: long non-coding RNA, 35426 nt
Filed under: Prunus persica (peach)
Lineage: Eukaryota; Viridiplantae; Streptophyta; Magnoliopsida; Rosales; Rosaceae
Description: long non-coding RNA (PPER_LNC008338)
Source: RNAcentral
AUUCAUCCGCUAAUAGCUUGCAAAAAUUGAUUAAAAUGGAAAAACAAAAAACAAAUACACAUCAAAUUAAUAGUACAGUUAUAUAUAUGCAAGAUUAGACUAAUAUUUUAAACAUGUUUACAAGGUGUUCACCAAGGCACAAAACGGUCCAUAAGCAAACAGACUGUGGCCUCUGAAAGCGUAGAGGAAUCCAAGUCCCUCUGAAUCUGAGCCAUUCUGCUGCUCUCUUUUCUUGCUUCUUUCAACACUUGUUCUUCUUCAACCUCAUCAUCACCCUCUCCUUGUUUGCCCUUUGAUGAAAACACCAUUCGCUUCUUAGCUCCUACCUUGUCUUUCAGCUUUGCAAACUCGCUCAUCCAAACCUCCACCACUGCAGACAUAAUUGAACUACUUGAAAACUUGAAAUUAUUGCUUGGUCUUGACUCUUGAGUUUGAUCAAGGAUGAUGAGGAGAGCUGGCUAUUAUGCUUGUUGGGUUAUAUAGAAGACAGAGAGAGAGAGAGAAAGAAAGAGGGCCUUGCCCUUCAUGUGGUUUGGAUUGGAUGAAAAAUAAGUGUGUCACAGCCGUUGGAUAUAGGUUCGCACACAGGAUUUAGUUUUAGGAAUAUUCGUUGGAGAGAGAGAGAGAGAGAGAGAGCAGAAGUGGGGUAUGAGUUUUGUGGAGUGAAUGAAAAGCUUCUCCGUGGGCGUGUGUCCUCACCUCUAAAACUGAGAAACACAUCGUGGGUCCAUGAAUUGGUGAAAGAAGAAGAAGAAGAAGGGGAAGGAGCUCCUAAUAAUUGAGUGGUGUCUAGAUCCAUAUUGUUGAAAAUUGAACAGGCUGAAAGGGUUGGAAAUUAUAGUGAUUUAUUGUCCAAGAGUCUCUGGUUGGCAAUGUCAGUGGGCAGAAGAAUCAUGUGAGUGAAAAGUCUUCGUCUAUGUGGGCCCCAAGAGCCCCUACCUCUGCUGGGUCUCUCCAAUCUAGGAGAAAUUAUAGAGUAGUACCGUAUCACCACGUCAGCUGGUGAUACUUCCACUCAAAAUAUGCCAUGUGUAAUUUUUUAAAAUUAAUUAUUCUUCAUUACAGCUGGACUUUAUUUUUAUCCGCUGAAAUAAAUUAGAAAAAUAAAAAACUUAAAAAAAAAAAGAGAGAAUAUCCCAGCAACCCAACCCUUACCCCCACGCCACCCCUCUGUCGUCGUCUUCCGACUGCCAUCAACAGUCAUUAGUAAGAGAGCCAAAUCCCCACAGCCUAAUAAAUUUUUGCAACAAGGAAACUUCAUCAUCAUUGUCAAUGAAUGUUAAUAUAUGAUGGAGUUUAUUAGAUCCAAUAUAAUACCCAACACAAUCAACCCUUUCCAUAUCAAUUUCAUGCUGGUCGAUUUGUAGCCUGUUUGUUAUAGACCCACCUCCCAUCCCAACCUUCUUCACAUCUGCUAGUGAGACCUUCAUCAAUGAAAAAAUAUAUAUGGAUCUUGGGGUAGUCACCAAAAGGUUGAGAAAGUUGAAGAACGGCAACAGAGAGAGAGAGAGAGAGAGAAAUAAAUAAAAGAGAGGGACGGGGCGGCGACCAGAGCGGCGGUGCGAGGUAGGCAUGUUGGGGGUAGGCUGUGGCUAUGCUCUUUUUUUUUCCAUUGUUUAUUUUCUUAAUUUUAUUUUAAAGGGUAAAAAUUAGGUUAAUGUCCAGUUGUAAAAUAAAGUUUGAGUUGUUAAAAAAUAAAGACACAUGUCAUAUUUUGAGUGGGAAUAUCACCAGCUGACGUGGUGAUACGGUACUACUCUAUAAUUUCUCCCAAUCUAGACCCGAGGGACAGUUUUAAUUUUAUAUGAUUAUUUAUAAUUCCAACAGCUAUAUUUUAUAAUUAUCUUUUUGUUUUGCUUUCUCUUUUCGUUAUAUUUUCUUCUUUUUAUUUAUAAUUAUUGUUUAUCUUUAUUAAUGAUUGUCGUUUAUUUUUUCAAAUUCAAUGAUAAAUCACAUAAUUCAGGUCCUUUAGAAAACUACUUUCAGGUCCUUUUCACUAAUAACCAAAAUAAAUACAACCAAAUUAAUAAAUGGCUUGGCAUGAGGAGUUUAUGGCAUGGGAGCUAAGCUUUCACAAGUUUAGCAAUUUAAGAAAGAGAAAGCAUGAGUUUCUUGCAUAAUACAAAGAUCAAAAUGGGGCAGAAGAAAAUUAGGAGGAUUCCUAUCUUAGGGAAAGAAGAAAACAGCGAGAGAAGAAGAUUGGGUGGCUUGAGUAAAUUCUCAGUUGCUUGACAAAGCUUGGUCAGGCUCUGGAUGAUGAUUUUGCUGGGUAAUGAGCCCUUUGUGGUUCCAAGGGUUUGACGCAGCUGGACCUCCUCAUGAAGGUGAGGCGCACUUGCUUUCCUUCUUGGUUUUCAAAACGGAGCUAACAGAGGAAAAGAAAACAGGUAUAGUCUUUUGCCCGGUGGGUACUUUCCUUACAUACAUGGAUUUCCUUUGGUUCCUGCUAUGGCUUCCCAUUGACUGUCUUGAAGCUUUGACAAAGAUGGAGCACGAUGUCAGAUUUUUAUAAGGCGUUGGGCUGGGCUUGUGUGUACAGUGUUGGGUUAUUAACGUAUUAUCUCCAGCAUCUAAUGGGUUUUCAUCAAGCUGCCGGAAAUAGCUUACUUAUCUUAGGCAUUUUUACUGAUGUAGGUUUAUCUAAGUGUCAUAAUAGGUUACUAGAUGUCCUCCUAAGGCAUUGGACCAUUCUUUUCUCCUUCUUUCAUGCUAACCCAUGUAUUUGGGCCUGAAGAAUGGGCCUGAGUUUUAAUACUCCCAAGUAGCUUAAAACUUUCAUUCCUCGAACCCUCAAUGGGCCCUGUGAUUGCUUGUUUCCUUCCAUACCACAACAUUCUCAGCAAGCCCCGGGUAAUUUUGUGGCUUGGACUCACUUAAGCUUGUGGCACAGCUUGGUAUUAGAAUAGUGGUCCUUUGCACGGCAUUUAUUUAACAUGCUUGCAUUUGAGUUUUUAUCAUGCCGUGAUAGGCUAUAAUUGGGCCAAGUAACACUGGAUGGGUAGAUGAGCAUGAUUUUGUGGAGCCGGUAUGCUCUUGACCCCUUUUGUGCAUGCUUGCUUGGUAUGACACGUGAAUUGUGGCUUGCAUUGAUGCGUCCUUCAAAUUCUCUUUUGUUCCGAUCGGGCUCCUUUUGCAUUCAAUCUCUCUGUGUUAGGCCAGAAAUUGAUCUGGGCCUAGCUCCUUGAAUUUCUAGGCCUCAACAAAUGCAAAUCCUUUGUGACUAAAAACAAUUCUGCACUAAAAUUUUUGAAAAAUAAUAUCGAUGCCUUUAUCAACAAAAUGGCCUAAUUCACAGAAUUUAGGUAAAUUUUAAACAAAAAUUGAUUAAAAAAACCAGAGAAAUGCCAUCAUAUUUUAAUCCCCACUAGAUACAUGCACAUAAGACGCGCUUAGGAUAUUCAUUCGGAUAUAAAAUCAAUAGGAUCCAAAAUUUGGUGUUUAUCAGAUUUAGGAUGAUAAGCUAAAUUUGAUAGUCUCAAUACGACUUGAAUUGAAUUCGGUAAUCUUAUUAUAAUUCACAUUGUUUGUUAACUUGUAAUAUAAUCACCUUAAAUCACUCAAACUCACUAUGCAACACAUUUCAUUCAAUUCUUUUGUGUCAAAAUAAUUGACUACUUGAACAUCUUUUAAAAGUUUCAUUACGUCAAUGGGGUAUAACUCAGUUGACUAAGCUCUUCCACCUCCACUCAUGUAGGCAAAAGUUCGAGACACUCAGGCACCUAAUGAAUAUUUGUGUAAACCACCCCCCCAAUCACUUGUACUAUAUAAAAAAAUUCAUUACAAAUUUUCAUGUUUUUCUUAUCAUUUCCAUUAUUUUUAAAAAAAAAAUCUAGUUUUUAUCAAUAUCGAAAAUUUUUCACGUAUAUAUAUUUCCAAAUUUUUAGACCACAAAUAUUUUUGAAACCAUCGAUAUUUAGUACCUUACUUCUUACCAAAAAACUUUCUGUAAGGAUUGUAUUUUGACAUGUUUGUUGUUUGGCUCUUCUCUUGUAUUUCACAAAACCAUUGUAUUAAUUCUUGUUAUAGACUAGAGGUUGUGUCUGAAAUAGAUUGAAGAUAAAUUCGAGUCCUCACGUUGCUGCCAAAGGUAAAUCUCACAUGCAUUCUCACUGGAUUAAUACAUGUUCACGUGUAUUAAUCCAACAUUCAUUCUUACGUGUUUGCUGCAACAUUUCUCUUUAUUUCAGCUUUGACAGACUUUCUUAAAACUCUGUCUACAAAAGGAAUAAUUCUAUCUUUGGUGGUGGUGUCUUGAGCCGCUCCCAUGCUAAAAGUCUGGAGCUUGAAAAAACAGUGUGAUUUUCAAAAGCUCUAUAUAUAUAUUCUUCUAGACAGAGUUGCAAAAACAACUUUUUGACUCAUGCAUUUUUAAUAGAUGACUUAUGCCUUCUUUCUAGAUAUACUCUGGACAUGAAAACCGAGAGGGAAUAAAACUCUGAAAAGAGUUUGCCUUCAGCCAAAGUUCAUAUCCUGAGGGUUAUGAGAAUGAUUGCAUUCACAUAAAUGCUUCCCCAAGAUGACUUUAAAGCUUUAAUGGCUGGCUGUUUUUUCUUCACUUCAAUCUUCUUUAAUGUUUCAGCUAGUAUAUGUUACUUGAGAGUAUACGAUUGAUAGUAUACAUAUAACCUUCUCCGUGUAUACAUUUACAAGAUUGCGGCUGCAAACCUUUUCUUUGUUGUUGUUAUGUUGAAUUAAACUACAUGCUUCAAGUACUUUACUUCUAGUUUAUUCUUCACGACACUUAGGUUUCAUUUGUCUAGCUCAAUUAUUCUCUGUGAUUGAGAUAGAUGAAUCUUGAAAUCAUGACUCACCUCAUACAUCAAAAUUACAUACAACUAGAGCUUGGUGCUCUUGAGAGGAUUUGCUGCUACGAGAUAAAGAAAAGGUGCUUGUUGAAAGGUUGAUUGAAGCUGCCUAUAGGUGAUAGAUUGAGCUAAGUCUUCUUUCAUUUUUCUUGUAUUUCUUAAUGAGUGGAUUGGAUCUCUCCUGAUUUGGUGCUCCCAGUUUUUCACCUACUUGGGUUUUCUGGGUCAACAACUCCUGUGUGUCGUUUACUUUCAGCUGUUAAUUGUCUUCCCUUAUUAAUCACAUAAUUGUUUGUAUGUGUAUGUGUACGACUUAACAGAACUUUUUAAAAUUGGUAGGUCUUUGACCGGUAGCCUACUUCACCCCCCUUUGUAGGCUCUUAGAGCUUAGGGUUUGGUUUUACACGUUCCUUAUUUAUUGUAAAAUUAAUGAGACUAACUAUUUAUAACAAAAGCCAUAAUUUCACUCAUAAUAAGCAUCAAUAUACAUUACAGAUGCGAAGUAUUUUCCUGUCAUCUUCAUAGUGGAUGUGAAGUCAAAGGAAAUAAGAAAAUGGUCAAAAGGAAACACCGACAAACCACAAAAUGAAAAAGAAAAAAGAAGCAUCAAUACACUUUCGUUGCAACAUUGGUGUUUACCAAGUAGUUGGGGUGUGGAAAAAAAAGAAGACAAAAGGUCGAUUGUUGAUGAAGUUGACUGAAAUAGAUCAGGAUUUUCAAAAUUAACCUCCAUAAUUGUUAGAAGACAAAAUUUUGUUAUUGGCGAGUCAAUUAAUUCAUAAAAUUGAGCUUUCACAUUGGUGAAAAGUUGAAGGUUUUUCAUCUUUGAGAAGCUGUCAUCACUCAAGCAUAUGUCAUCUGGUGUCGGAAACUUUGCUAUGAUGCCUUUAAUAUUGUUUGUUUCCUAUUAUUAAAAAAAAAAAGAAGUUGUUUUAACAUACAAAGCUUUAUAGCAAAUAAAAAUGCAAGUGUACACACACACAGAGACUUACUGUUCCUUCUGUUAGAACACGAUAAACAUUCUCGUGAAAUCACAAUCUGCUACGUUCACUAGGCUCAUUUGGCGACUCUUGAUAAACUAUUCUUCUACCCAAUUCUUCAAGCAAGUCAUGCAUCCCAAUUGUGCCUUGUUCAAUAUUUAUGAGGGCCUUGUCUACGAGUACUUUAAUAGCAUACUUAGGCUUGAGGUCACAACCUUCCAGGAUCGGUAUCAUAUGGUUCACCUUUCUACCGUUAAAGAAACAUGCUAUGUCAAGGAAAACUUCUUGCACUGAAUAUUCCAAUGCAUCAUAGCUUAUUUUGAGAGUUUUUUUAAUGUCCGAGUGCAGAUUCCCAUCCAAUGCAUCAUGCCACUCAUCUAUACUUCUACCACAUAGAUGAGAACCUAAAACCUUGAGAGCUAAAGGAAGACCUUGAGCAUGCUUCAGCACACAUUCUGCAAGUUCCACAUAAUCAUCAUCCAAAUUUCUAUUUCUUGUAAAACCAUUCCAACUAAAGAAGAGAUCAAGAGAUUCAUGAUAAUUUAAUUUCUUUGCCUCGUAGAUUAUACUAACUCAAUGAGAAGUUAGCAAAUGCUUAUCUCUUGUCGUUAUGAUAAUUCUACUGCCCAAACCAAACCAAUCACAACCUCCAACUAAGUUGUUUAAUUGGUCCAAAUGAUCCACAUCAUCUACAAUUACAAGGACCUUUUUACCACUCAACCUUUCCUUUAUCACACUGAUUCCUUUAUCGGCACUGGUAACCUUUAUUUCCUUUCCCCUUGGAAUCUCAUAAAGAAGAAGAUUUUGUAGGUCGACUAGGCCUCCAUAUGGUAUUGAUCUUUCUCUUACAUUUUCCAGAAAACAACUCCUUUCAAACACUUGGGCCAGUGAGUUAUAAACAGCUUUAGCAACAGUUGUCUUUCCUAUUCCACCAGUCCCCCAUAUUCCUACCAUGCAAACGUCAUUUCCGUAAACAUCUAAAACUUUAUGAAGAUCUCGUACACUAGCCUCUAUUCCAACUUGGUAUUUUGCCACAUUGAUAUGGAUAUCAUUUAAUACUUGUAAGGAAAUCUCGUUGACAAUGUUCUGAAUAAAUUCAGUUUCACGGCUGCCAAUUUGAAGCACAAACAACAUUUAAAUAAAAUGGGAUUUUUCUAUAUAUAUUUUAAAGAAGUGCUCGACUCAAUACUAGUGUCAAUUAUGUCGUGAAUCUAUAUAUAUAAAGCAAAAAGCAGAGAAUGGUGAAACAUUCAAAAUACCAUAAAUGUCAUUGAUUAAUGCAAACAUUAAGAAUUGAAAUUAUUAAUUAAAUGAGGAUAAUAUGGUAAAUUCACACUUUUUCAUAUUAAAAAUAAAUUAAAAUUAAAAGAAAAAAAAUUAGAAAACACGUGACCAAGCUAUGAUGUUAGGGAAAGCGUGUGAUGGAAUGGACACUAGGAUAACAAUAGAAGAGAUUGGUUUUCGUAACAGAGUGAUUUUAUUAGAAAGGAGAGAAGUACACUGCUUGGUAGCUAUUAUAGAUAUUUGAUACUAUUAUCUUCAAUAUUUGAUAGCUAUUAUAGCAUUUUCGGAUCCUAAAUUACUCUAGAAAUUUCUACCAAAUGUCCAUCAUAUUUUAACAGUUACAAUAACAGAUUCUGCAACCCUGGGAGAAAUAAUGUAGCUAUUGGUUGGCUAAUUAGCCUUUCAGUGAUGUAACUAUUUGCUGCAAUUUAUAUUACUGUUGUAUUGAUUCAAUUAUAUUUAUAUAAAAUAUAUUCGUUGGUUUUUAUUAUUUUGUUAUUUUGGUUUUAUACUGAUUGUUUUACAACAACUAGUACAUCAGUCGUUAAACACCUUGCAAUUACAUAAAAAUUUGAAUGCAAACCCUUUGUGUCUUGAAACAAUUCUGCACUAAAUUUUUUGAAAAAUAAUGUUGAUUCCUUUAUCGACAAAAUGACUAAUUCACAAAAUUUAGGUAAAUUUUAAACAAAAGUUGAUUAAAAAAGACAAGAGAAAUGCCAUCAUUUUAAUCCCCACUAGAUACACGCACAUAGUGGAUGUGAAGUAGUUUCCUGCCAUCUUCAUAGUGGAUGUGAAGUCAAAGGGAAUAAGAAAAUUGUCAAAAGGAAACACCGACAAACCACAAAAAGAAAAAGACAAAAGAAGCAUCAAUACACUGUCAUUGCAACAUGGGUGUUUACCAAGUAGUUGGGGGUGUGGAGAAAAAAAACAAAAACAAAAGGUCGAUUGAUGAUGAAAGAUAACUAAAAUAGAUCAGGAUUGUAAAAAAUAACCUCCAUAAUUGUUACAAGACAAAAUUUUGUUAUUGGCGAGUUAGUUAAUUCACAACGCGUCAUGCUAACUAUUAGAUAGAAAAGUAUUCAUACGUGAGUUUAAUAUAUUAUCGUCUUUCUCAAUAAGAAAUGUGAAACAUUCAAAAUACCAAAAAAUAUCCUUGGUUAAUGCAAACAUUAAGAAUUGAAAUUAUUAAUUAAAUAAGAAUAAUAUGGUAAAUUCAUACUUUUUUAUAUUAAAAAAAUUAAAAUGAAAAGAAAAAUCAGAUAAUGAAUCUUAUUUUUAUGAGACACAACUACUCAUCAUCUUUUUAAUUCUAAAAUAAUUUUUUUUUCUUCAAAAAGCCUCUCACAAGCGCAAAAGCUCGUGCGGAGAUGCUAGUUAUAAAUAAAUAAAAACUAGUGUAUUUUGUUUUUGUUUGUUUGUUAAAAAAUAAUAUAUGGUUUAAUGGGUUGUCCUGUUAAGGGAAAGCUUAGAGGCAAUAAUUUAAACUUUUGGAAAAACAAUAAUCCCAAAUGUACGAACCAUUCAUCCGCUAAUAGCUUGCGAAAAUAUAAUUAAAAUGGGAAAACAAAAAACAAAUACACUAGUAAUAAGUUUAUGUAUCCACUAAAACUUAAUUACAUGGAGGCAAUCCAAUGGAUCACUAAUGAUUUUUUCAUCAAAACAACCUAGUUAUAUAUAAUUACCGAAAAAACUAAUGACUCAUUUUUCAUGGCCAGAGAAGCGAGCAAAGGUCCUUCAACAAAUAAAACAUGUGUACAAGGUGUCACCAAGGCACAAAACGGUCCAUAAGCAAACGAACUUUGGCAUCUGAAAGCGUAGAGGAAUCCAAGUCCCUCUGAAUCUGAGCCAUUCUGCUGCUCUCUAUUCUUGCUUCUUUGAACACUACUUGUUCUUUAACCUCAUCAUCACCUUCUCCUUGUUUGGCCUUCGAUGAAAACACCAUUCGCUUCUUAGCCCCCACCUUGUCUUUCAGCUUUGCCAACUCGCUCAUCCAAACCUCCACCACUGCAGACAUGCUUGAACUUGAAAACUUGAAAUUCUGGCUUGGUCUUGACUGUUGAGUUUGAUCAAGGAUGAUGAGGAGGGCUGGCUAUUAUGGUUGUUGGGUUAUAUAGAAGAGAGAGAGAGAGAAAGAGAAAGAGGGCCUUGCCCUUCAUGUGGUUUGGAUUGGAUGAAAAACCAGUGUGUCACAGACAGCCGCUGGUUAUAGGCUCGCACACAGGAAUAUUCCUUGGGAAGAGAGAGAGAGAGAGAGAGAGAGAGACUAGAAAGUGGGGUAUGAGUUUUGUUGAGUGAGUGAAAAGCUUCCCCGUGGGUGGGCGCACGGAACUCUCUUCUUUAGAUUAAUCUUGUGGGCGACUUAGCAUAUUACUAUUCAUAAUAAUAUUCCAUUGCAUCUUAGUUUUCCUUGUGUCUUAUUCCAACAUUGCAAUUCUCUUUCUCCGAAAUACCCAUUCACCUCUUCAUCAUCAGUAAAAGUAGCCAUCUUCAUUAUCUUCACAGCUGAAGUAGUCAUGUUCCGAGUCUUGCUCAUCUUCACAUAGAUCAAUACAAUUAUCUCCAUCAAACCUCUCAUUAGCAUCUUCCAAGUCAUCGGAUUCAGACUCACCAUCUUCCGUAAAUAUAGACAAGUCUUCAUCAUCCUGUGUCAUUACCAGGUGGACCCCGAAGCUUUUUAAACACAGCGAAUCUAGUGUCAAAUUCAGAAAAUUAACUCGACACGCAAAAGGCGACCGCGGCCAGGUAAUCUGAUCAUCCCGGUAAAACAUUUCGCUGAAUCGAAUAUAGCACAGCCACACAUGACCUGACCCUAUACCAUGACCUGACCCGUUCUUUCUGAAAUCGGACGCAGUAAAAUAAGGUUCCACUCCUGGUUGAUUCACGGAAAUUUUUGUUACAAAACCAUUGUAACGUGGUCUUUUGUUUUGCGGGUUUUCACCAGCAGCGUAUAGAGCCAAUCCUUGGUUCUGGCAUUUGAAGUUUGGAGGGAUUUCAAUCAAAAAUUCACAUGCUUCAUCACGCUCCUUCACAUACUUAUGACAGCUGAACAACGUCGAGAGAGCUUCAAAACUUGCUGGAAAUACAACCUGAAAUCCAUGUUUCUGCGAAGACAGAAGGUGAUCAAAGAAGAUAGUGAUCUGCUCCUUUGCUAAAAUGUUUUGCUUCUUUCUGAGGUCACAAGCCAGAUUGCCGCAGAGUCUGUGGCAAUUACACAAGUCCACCAACUUAAUCAUUUGUGAGUCUUCUUUACCCUUCAGAAUGUUGGACAAUGAUGAAAACCUUUCCAAUGAUACGCAAUCACUUGCAUCUAACUUUACUAUUUUUGGUGGAAGUUCCGGAAUAUCUCUAAGCCUCUUGCAGCCAUGCAAGUAAAGAUACCGCAUAUUGACAAAUUUCGUAAUGCAUUUGGGAAUACUUACAAGGAAAUCACAUAGUGUUAGAUCAAGUUCGCUCAAUGUAGACACAUAAUCUUCAGACUUCACUUUAUUUGGAAAUGUAACAAGCUUUCGACUUCUUCGGAGACAAAUGCGGUUUAAAUGUUCCAACUCAUAAAUGCUGGGUGGCAGAUUCGUAAGAUUUUCACAACUGCUUAGGUGUAAUAACUCAAGAUUGAUGAGAUAUACAAUUGACGCUGGCAAUUCUUUGAUGCCACUACCAUGUAGAAACAUGUAACGUAAGGAAUCCAUCUUUCCCCCAAUAUCAGGGAAAGUCUCCAGUCUUCUGCAAAAUUGAAGAUUGAGAACUUCUAGAGAUUUUGACUUGAUUAUUGGAAAUAGUGUGAGGUUAUGGCAACACAUAAGACUCAAGUCCACAAGCUUAUCAUGAAAUCCAACAGAAGGAUGAACCUCAACUAAACUUCUGCAGUAGUCUAGAUUCAAGGACUGUAAGUUUGGAAUUCCAGAGAUAUUUGGGGUUUUUGUUAGGAGUUCACAGCUCCUAAAAUUCAUGGACGUCAAAUUUUGCAAACGCUAUAUAAGACAAAAAUAGAAAAGAAAAAGAAGGAUCAAACGAUAAGGCAUAAACAAGUUUAAGCCAUAACUCCAGAAACUUAAUAAACUUUUGAAAAUACGAAGGGAUGAAAAUAAUUUAAAUUACCUUGAAUCCCUCCCCAAGUUGUGACAAGCGGCUACAAGGCAUAUAAAGUUCAACAAGUUUCCUUGGAUUGAAAGUAGAUGGUAAAGUUUGUAGAGGACAACCAGGCCAAUGAAGAAACCUCAACUCAUUAGAUAGAUAAUCCACGUGAUCGCCAUAAAAUCGUGCAUUCACAUUGAUGAAAAGUCGAAGGUUUUUCAUCUUUGAGAAGCUGUCAUCACUCAAGCAUAUGUCAUCUGGUGUCGGAAACUUUGCUAUGAUGCCUUUAAUAUUGUUUGUUCCCUAUUAUUAUAAUUUUUUAAAAAGUAGUGUUAACAUACAAAUUUCAAUAGCAAAUAAAAAUGCAAGUGUACACACACACACACUUACUGUUCCUUCUGUUAGAACACGCACUACUACAAAAAAGCAAAAAGACGACGGUAAAUCACCGUCGUGUAUUCGGUUUUUCAAUGGUCGUGGAAUCCACCGUCAUCUUUUCCCUCAUAAACCACGACGCUAAAUCACCGUCGUUGUUAAAAUAUACAACGUCAUCAACAAAUACAAAACGACGUCUUUGUACUGCAAAAAGAUCUAAAAAAGCAGUCGAGGAUGAGAAUAGACGACCAACUCUCUAAAAAAACCGUCGUUAAAAAGGAAAAAUAUGACACAUAUUAAGAUAACAAGGCCGCAAGAUAGACAUACAAUGACGAAAAUAAAAAUACCACGCCGUUAAAUAUCAUUUUCACGACAAUAAAAAAUUUGACGUCUUUAAAUACAUUAGAAGACGACGUUAUUGAUACCUACUACGUCGCAUAUAUAAAAACAGCCGUCGUAAAAUUAAUUUUCCACUUCGAUUUUUCGAUAAAAGAUGACGUGGAAAUAGUUGUCAGUGUCAUUAUUUACGACGUAUGUAUUUAUAGAGUAGACGUUGAAAAACGAAACAACGUCAGUUACAAAUAUAUGAGAGUCGUAUUACAAAAUUUAUACGUCAUAUUUUCAGAAACAAACAACGACGAUAAAUAUUCAACGUUGUUAAAUAAACCAACGUCGGAAAACAAUAAAAACAGACGUGUUUAGUCUGCUAAAGUUCUAGAAAAUAGUCGAGGAUGAGAAUAGACGACCAACUCAAACAAAUCACCGUCGUUAAAAAGGAAAAAUAUGACACAUGUUAAAAGAACAAGGCCGCAAGAUAUACAUACAACGACGAAAACUAAAAUACUACGCUGUUAAAUAUAAUUUACACGACAAGAAAAAAUAUGACGUCUUUAAAUACAUGAGAAGACGACGUUAUUGAAAUAUACUACAUCUCUUAUUUACAAACAACCGUCGUGAAAUAAAUUUUCCACUUCGAUUUUUCUAAAAAAGAUGACGUGGAAAUAGUUGUCAGUGUCAUUAUUUACGACGUAUGUAUUUAUACAGUUGACGUUGAAAUGCGAAACAACGUCGGUGGCAUUUAUAUAGUCGACGUUGUAUUUAUAUCUAUCAUCAUUACUCACGACGCACUUAAUAAUAUAGACGACGUUGAACUUCUAAACAACGUCGGUUCCAAAUAAAUGAGAGCCGUAUUACAGAACAUAUAGACGGCGUUGAUUAUGAUGAGAGCCGUAUUACAAAUAACGUCGUUUAAUUGUUAUUAGACGGCGGUUAUAAUGAAUUUCCGUCGGAAUUCAUUUCGUUCCUCUUCGUUUAUAAAAGAACUUGCGACGUGGAAAAUGUAUGAUGACGUCGUAUUUUUUAACGUUCAGAUUAUAUAUCUCGUUUUUUAGACGUCGGUAUUAUGGGAUUGGAGUCGUGUUAUUUUGAAUUACAUGGCGGUUCUUAAUCCUUCCCCGACGUGAUAUCCUGAAUAAUUGCUUCACAAUAGCGUCGUGGUUCUUCAUUGUUACGUUGCUUUAAGACGUCGGUAAAUAUGCUGAAUAACUGGUUCACAAUAACGUCGUGUUUUAUUUGAACGUAGAAAGUGAAGAAAUCACAUUACAAUAUAUUACAAAAUUAAUGUCAUACACUGCCAAUUACAUAAGCAUCAUUCAAUCCAUAUAUCUUCACACCCAUCUCGAAUAUUUUGACCGCCUAACUCACCCACCAGUUCAUCAAAUGUGUCAACAUUUGGCAUCCCUCUAGUAAAUGGCUCACACUCAAUUAUCACAUCACCUAAGACUUCAUCACCAAUAACAUCAUUAUAUUCUCUAUUAGGCAUUGAUAACACUACCGACCAACUAUGAUGCAUCGGGUCGUCAACAAAAAAUAUUUGUUUGACUUGAGAAGCCAAAACAAAUUGGUCAUUCCUAUGUCCAAUUUUACUCAAAUCUACAAGGGUAAAUCCAAGUUCGUCGACUACAAGACCAGAACUAUCUAUCCAAUCACACCUAAAGACUGGGAUUGUAAACUUUUGGUAGUCAAGGUCCCAAAUUUCUUGAAUGACACCAUAGAAACCCAUAUUUGAGAGAAUUGGGUUUUUAUCCUUGGCACUAGCAACUUGCAUGGUAUGUGCAAGUAAAUAAACUCCACUAUUUUGAGUUGUCCGCACAUCAUCUUGUGCCUUGAUAUUGAAUUUAAUACCUUUAAUAAGAUAGCUCCUAUAUAAUGGCACUGACAUGUUUGGACCAGCUGCUAGCCACCUUAAAUUUUCUGAUACGCCGUGAUUGUCUUCCUCAAGUUCACUUUGAACCUGCAAAUUAAUCAUAUCUUAAUUCAAUCUAACAUAUAAAUAAGAAGAAAAUUAAAAGAGAAAUAUGUUAUUCAACAACAUAUACCUUGAAGCGUAGCCAUUGAAUGAAAGUGCUAUUGUGCUUAUCCUGCAGCCACUUUGUUCUCUUUCUAAAUUUUGGAUAAGCAAUCUUGAUGUGGAUCAUAUGUUGCCUACAUGACACGAAAAAUUCAAGCAUUACGGUCCCAAAUAUAGAAGAUAAACAUAAGAAAUAAUUUAAAAUGGAAACUUAAAGAAUAAAGCUCAUACGUACUCGAUAUAAGGUAGGACUUCCUCCGUAUUCUCCAAGACAUAUAGAUGUGCUUGAUUCAAUAGGUCCUGAUCAACUACGCUCACUGUGCAACCUGAUAAUGGCUUUGAAAGUCCCAUCUUUUGGCUUGAAGGCACUCCAACUGUACUAACAUCAGAUAAAUGCUGAGUACAAAACUCUACCGCUUCUUCAGCUAUAUACCGCUCAGCAAUGCAACCUUCGGGACGAGUACGAUUCUGAACAUACCCCUUCAGCACUUUCAUAUAUCUUUCAAACGGAUACAUCCACCUAAAAUAUACUGGCCCACAUAGACGAACUUCUCUGACAAGAUGUACUACUAGAUGAACCAUGAUAUCAAAGAAUGAAGGGGGAAAGUACUUCUCAAGCAAACACAGAGUAACUACUACAUCUUCUUCCAACUUAUCUAGCUUGGAAACAUCAACAGUCUUUGCACAUAUAGCAUUGAAGAAGAAGCACAAACGAGUUAUUGCAUACCUUGCAGGCUUCUCCAAAACAGAACGAAUUGCCACAGGGAGCAAUUGUUGCAUUAAGGUAUGACAAUCAUGUGAUUUAAGGCCAAGAAGUCUUGAAUCUUGUAAAGAUACAAGAUUUUUAAUAUUUGAAGAAUAACCUUCAGGGACCUUCAUACCAUAGAAAGAAUUGCAAACCUCUCUCUUCUCUGCUCUUGACAAAUUCCAAGGCCCAGGAGGCAAACGAGUACGUCUUUCUCCAUACUCGGGUUGCAAAUCAGUUUUGACCCCCAUGUUCAAUAAAUCUAAUCGAGCAGCAAUCCCAUCUUUAUUUUUUCCAGGGAUCUCCAGCAAUGUACCAAUGAUACUAUCGCAAACAUUCUUCUCAAUGUGCAUAACAUCUAGGGCAUGCCUCACAGGAAGGUAUUUCCAAUACUCGAGAUCAAAGAAUAUUGAUUUCUUCUUCCAACAAACUCUGUCACCAUUUUCAACCAUAUGCAGCACUUCUUCUCCGGUUAAUGGCUCGGGAGGUAUGCCAUAUUCAGGUUUCCCAUUAAAAGCUGCACGUUGCCUCCUAUAUGGAUGAUUGAUUGGUAACCAUUUUCUAUGCCCAAUGUAACAAAUUUUGUGGCCAUUUUUCAACCUGUGACUAGGUGUAUCAUCGCCGCAUAUUGGACAAGCUUUAUAUCCUUUAACAACACAACCAGAUAAGUUUCCAUAGGCGGGGAAAUCAUUAAUUGUCCACAUUAAUGCAGCUCUGAGUGUAAAGUAUUCUCCAUUAUGUGCAUCAUACACUCCUCUAAUCCCAACCCACAAGGAUUUUAAAUCAUCAAUCAAAGGCUCCAAGUAGACGUCUAUAUCAUUUCCGGGUUGUUUAGGACCGGAAAUCAAUAAGGUUAACAUCAUGAACUUUCGUUUCAUGCACAGCCAUGGAGGGAGAUUAUAUGUAACUAAGAUAACCGGCCAACAACUAUAUCUGCUACUUAGAGAACUGUGGGGGAUUGAAUCCAUCAGAUGAAAGAGCCAAUCUCAAGUUUCUCGGCUCAUUACCAAACUCAGGCCAUUUAUCAUCAAGAAGUUUCCAAGACGGGGAAUCCGCCGGAUGAGACAUCUGACCGUCAAUUGAUUUUCUAGCAGCAUGCCACCAAGUCAAACUCUUAGCUGUCUCAUGUGAUUGAAACAUCCUUUUAAACCUUGGAAUUGGGGGAAAAUACCACACCACCUUCGCUGGCACACCCUCUUUCAAGAUUGAAUCUUUGCCUUCCUUCCACCUUGAGAUACCACAAGUAGGACAAUUAGUUGAAUCCUCAUACUCCUUCCUAUACAAGAUGCAAUCAUUGGGGCAUGCGUGCAUUUUCUCAUAACUCAGCCCCAAUGCACACAAAGUCUUUUUAGCCUCAUACAUGGAGGUUGGUAUUGUAUUUCCUUCUGGAAGCAAAUCGCCUUGAAGUAUCAAUAAUUCUGUAAAACAGACAUCACUCAUCCCAUGUUUUGCCUUCAAAUUAUACAACUUCACUAAUGCCGAUAACUUCGUGUACUUUCUACAACCAGGGUACACUGGUUGAUCUCCAUCCCCAAUCACAUUGGCAAACUCAUACGGAUCCGAACCAAAAUCACCAAAAUCAUUAUCAUCCAUAUCAAUUUCUUCAGACACAAAACUGUACCUACUAUGGCCAUCAUCUUCUUCAACAUUUCUGCUAGCAUUAGUAGUUGCUUCCCAAGGUUCUCCGUGAAAUGUCCAAUUCUUAUAGCUUUGGUCAAUUCCAUUAAAGUAUAAGUGAUCCCUUAUAAUUCCAACCCCAAACAACUUCAAAUUAACACAUUUAACACAUGGACAACGGAUAUGUGUUGUAGUUAGAAGAUUUUCUACAGCAAAGUUCAAAAAUGCUUCCACCCCAACUCAUAUGCCUUCGAUCUUCUAUCCGAGUGCAUCCAUGACUUAUCCAUCUCCGACACUAUAACCUAUUAUCUAUAAUAAAGUGAAAAUACAGGCAAUGACCAUCACUAUAGCAGAUUAUACAAUGAUCUAAUCGCAAGUAAUACACAACAGAGACGACGGGUUUUAAACAAAAACAGACGUAUUUGGAAUAUAUAGACGACGGAUUUUCAACAGACGUCGUCUAUUAUAAGUAAUACAAACGACGGUUUAUGAAAAAACUAUCGUGUAUAAGUAAUACAACGACGGUAGUUUAAAAAAACCGUCGUGUAAUCGUCGUCGUAAGCCUUAAAAUUCGUCGUGUCUCAGUUUAUUUUCAAGAACACAAAACCCAUUAAGAACACAACAUAUAUAUGAAACCAAGCAAGAAACCAACAUAUACAUGAAACCAAGCAUGAAAACAAUAAAUCCAUUCCCAAUUCAACAUAACAUAGGGUGAUUAAAAGAUACGACAAAAUUAAAUCCAUUCCCAAUUCAACAUAACAGAUAAUGUAAUCCAUGAACCCAUUAAACAGAAAAUCCAUGAACCCAUACCUAUAAGCACAUUAUUAACAGAUCGCAAAGCAUACACAUAAAACCCUUUAACAAAACAACCUAAUAUAACUCGAAUCGUUACUAGAAUCAUCACUCGAAUCUCCAUCUUCAUUAUCAGUUUCUUCCUUCGUAGGUACUAUUUGCUCCCCAUCAUUGGUGCACUUUGCACCUUCUCCAGAGCGGAAAAUGACAAGAUCAAAUAAAGGUGUACUUUUGCUGGAAAUCAACACAAAAAGACACAGAUCAUCAACUUCCAAAUGAUUGUCACGCACAACGUCCAUCCAACCACGCCUGAAUUGUAUAAGUUUUACAAUGUUGGUUUGAGCAAAGGAAGGCCCAGAUCAGGCGNNNNNNNNNNNNNNNNNNNNNNNNNNNNNNNNNNNNNNNNNNNNNNNNNNNNNNNNNNNNNNNNNNNNNNNNNNNNNNNNNNNNNNNNNNNNNNNNNNNNAGCAUGAAACAAUAAAUCCAUUCCCAAUUCAACAUACAUAGGGUGAUUAAUAGAUACGACAAAAUUAAAUCCAUUCCUGGAUGGACGUUGUGCGUGACAAUCAUUUGGAAGUUGGUGAUCUGUGUCUUUUUGUGUUGAUUUCCAGCAAAAGUACACCUUUAUUUGAUCUUGUCAUGAACCCCUUUAACAAAACAACCUAAUAUCAUUCAAUGAAUUUACAAGGGGAAGAUAGGGUUUGUACUUACAGGUUGGACGAGCUCACAGAUUCGACGGAGCCUGGAGAGUGCAACUUUUAAUUAGAGCAGAAGUGAGAGAGCGAAAUGUUAUGUCGCGCGAAAUCUGAAAAUUUUAGGUUUCAGGGUUCGAAGUAUAAGAAUAAGAGCCAAAUCUAAAAAAAUUUAGGUCGCGCGAAAAUUUUUAGAGCUCGCGCGUUUUAAAACGUCGAAAGAAAAACCAAGGCGAAAGUUCUACAAGUACCGACGUAAAUUUAAUAUUCCACGACGGAAACUUCAUUUUUCGAAUUAAGAACGUAAGGCCGUUCAUUUUGAAGCUUCAUUUUUCGGAUUAAUUUUAAAUUUAUUUUGAAUUUUUUAUAUAACGACGACUGAAAAACCACGUCGGUGUUAAGAAAUUAAAGACGUUGUAAAUCAUAUAAACCGACUUACAUAUUAAAAUGACGUCGUUUAAAGCGUAAACCAUGUCGUAUGUUUUUCUGUACGACGUAAAAUAUGUAUUCCACGACGCAACCACCGUCGUUAAAAAUUAAUACCCUAAACCCAUAAAACUAAAUUAUACAAUUUAAAAAAUUAAGUUUAUAAAAGGUUUUAUGGUUUUAAAGCCUAACAUAUACCCUAGACUACCCAAAAAUUAUACUUUAAAAAUAAACCCCAAUAAAUAACAACCCUAAUCUCUAAACCCUAGACUCUAAACCCUAAACCAUAAAACUAGAAGUGAUUUUAUGACUCAUCAAAACAAUUUUGUUUUGGAUGGUCAUUUUAAAUUUUUGUUAUUCAAAAUGAAUUUUUUCAAGGUUUAUGUGGAAGAAAAUAUAUCAAUGACUUCAUAGGAGUGGACUUUUCAAUUUUCUGAUUUAUUUUAAAUUUAUUUUGAAUAUUUUGAUAUAAAAAUAAUAAAAUAUUCUUACCACAACAACAAACCACGUCGGUGUUAAUAAAUUGUAGACGUUGUAAAUUGUAAUAAACUACUAAGUCGUUAAAAUGAGUCGUUAAAAUGAGAAACCAUGGCAGCUAUUUAACUAUACGACGUAAAAUAUAUAUUCCACGACUUAACCGCUGUCGUUACAUAAACGAUAAACGACUAUUAGGGUUGUAAACCAUAAACGACUCAAUUGUUCAAAGAACGUCGUCUAACUAUAUUUUUACGUCGUAUUUGUUUAAAACACGAAACAACAAAAUACGACGGUUUUUGACUUUAUUAGGUCGUUGGAAAAGUAUUACACGUCGGUUAAGCAAUUUGUAUGUUUGUUUUUUUUUUAAUUUAAGAAAACCUCAACAAAUUUUUACAUUACAUAUUAUAGAGAAAAUUUGUACAUUAUACAUAAAUAUCAAGUGUUCAAUAAUUGCCCUGUUUAAUAAUUUGGAAAACAAACUCUGCCCAUUCAUUCCGGACUUCAUCAAUGGCUUCUUGGGGGUAUGAAGCUUCCUGGUUUCCCUUGGCAUACUGCAUAAACAAUGACUAUUAGGGUUUAUAAAUAAAAAGAAAUUCAAUCACAGACAACGAUAUUUUUCAUAACCGACGUAGUAUAUCCAUUCAACGACGUUAAUUUUACAUGACCGUCGUUGAUAAUACAAAAAACGACGUGAAAUGUAUGAAGGUAAUUUCUUCUUACCUUAUUCUCAAACCCCAAGGAAGGAUCCAUGAUGAUGUCCCUCAUGAAGCGCAUCACAUAAUACCCGCAUUCGACAUUGCUGGGUUGCUUUGGUGUGCCUGAGAGAGUUUUCCAAAUUACAUUUUUACGUCCUGCUCGGCCUAUGUGGGUAUUAUAUAUUUUUAAAGCACUGUUCACGAUGUUUUUCGCCUCUUCGUCGACCACACGAUGACCUGGCAGAGGAUCCAGAAAAUAGACGGUCUCCUUCUUUGCUCUUACAAUCAGCAAGAUCCAAUGACGGCUGCACAAAAUUAAUAUAAAAACGACGGUUAUUUACAAAAACGACGUAUUAUAGUAUUUCACACGACGAAAUAAAGUAGAUAACGACGACAUUAUAUAUUUAUCACGACGAUAAAUAAAUACCGACGUGGUUAGUAGUUUCAAACGACUAAAUAAAAUAAAACACCGACGUGGUUAGUUUAUAUGCUGUCAUUUAUUGAAAAUCAUAAAAACAAAAUCCUAAGGAGACUAACCCUGGAUUGUAAGGCAUCAUGAAAAUCUGUUCACCGUCUGUCUUCUGAAGUCGAGCUGCUACCAGUCGUGAUCUUUCAGUUAUUGUGCCAGAGUUGGCACUAACUGUAGCAGGGUCGAUAAAGCCAACCAUGCUGCACAUAUUGGCUUGUUUCAAAACAUCGUGUAAGUACCUAAAUACAUAAAAUAAUAUAAACAAGUCAGCACAAACAAACACGACGGUUAUGUAUAAAAAAACGACGUAUUAUAAUAUUUCACACGACGUACUGAAAUAGAUGAGGACGUUAUAAUAUAUUUAUCACGACGGUAGUUAGUUAAGACGACGUGGUUAGUUAGUUAAGACGACGCAAUAUAUAAACCAACGAGGUAUUAUUUUAGAAGUACAAACCUCAUAUAUACAGCCAAUACAGUAGCUCCAAUUUCUUCCAUGCCUGCAAAUUGUGUAAUAUCUUCAGGCAGGAGGAAGGUAUCGCGCUCACCACCAAACACCUCAUUAUCAAUUGUAAAUUAGAGUGUCUUAUCCUCAGGCAGGAGUGUCGUUUCCACAAAACGACAAAGGGUUUUUAAAGAAGAUGGCGCCUCCAUAUUUGAAUAAGCACCAACUUCAAUAACCUGUUUAAAGAAAUAAAAAAAAUGACGUGGUAAUUCAAUAAAGACGACGGUUUAAGGAAUAAAACGUCGUCUUAAAAGUAUUUAAACGACGGUGAAAAAACUGUCGUGGUAAUUCAAUAAAGACGACGGUUUUAUGAAUAAAGCAUCGUCUGAAACCAUUUAAACGACGGUGCAAAAACCGUCGUUUAAAUAUUUUAUUACGUCUUAAAAAAAGUCCGCCGUCUAAGUUUUAAACAAACGACGGAUUAAAUAAAAAUAUCGACGUCUGAAAUUUUGAAAAACAAAUAAAAAAGGCAAAGUUAUGUGAACAUACCUUGUCGUCAUGCUUUUCUUCAUCUUCUUUCUCCUUUUCUUCUUCCUUCUCUUCAUCUCUUUUUUCUUCUUCCUUCUCUUCAUCUGGCUGAUGUUUCCCCAUUUUGGCAGUAUCAUCCUCCAAAUGUAGGGAUCUCACAUCACCUCCAGAGCAGCUAGCUUUGUCAGACAUUGGAUUUUUGGGGCUUUGGCUAAUUCUUGGUUUAAGCAUGCUUGGAUCAAAAUUGGGAAUUAAUUGGGAAAGCUGACUCAGGAAAUGCUCCCUCUCAGCCUCUACCAAUUGUUUUGUCCUAGCCUCCAUCCUUAAGGCCUCUUCCCUUGCCUUAGCCUCCAUCUUUUUAGUCUCUUCUUGAAGGAGAACUCUUAAACUGUCCUUCAAACGGUCGUCAAAGCUCACCCUCUGUGGUUUAGGCAAAUUGAAAUAUUGCCUUGGGGGAAACACCAGCACCAACUCCCUUCACUCUGCCAGGAUGCUCGGGGCCCAAAGCCAUGGUCAGCACAUCAUUGCUGCCAUCUACUCUGACUUUGCCUUCCGAGACUUGUUUCUGAAAUUCAUCCUAAAAAAAGAUAAACAAAAAAACACACGACGGUUAUUUAUGUACAAACGACGUAUUAUAUAAUUUCACACGACGCAAUAACGUAUAAACCGACGUUAUUAUAACUUAUCACGACGGUAGUUAUACCGACGUGGUUAUUUAUUUAAAACGACGAAAUGAAUAAACUACCGACGUCUUAUGCUAUAAUUAAAGAAAACAGAGUAGUGAUUCCUAUUUAGACCGUUAACGACGUUUUUAAAAAAGUUUCGACGUGGUAAUAUCAUUCAAACGACGCCAAAAUGAACCACCGACGUCUUAUGCUAUAAUUACAGAAAACAUAGUAGUGAUUCCUAUUUAGACCUUUAACGACGUUUUUAAAAACUUCUCGACGUGGUAAUAUCAUUCACACGACAGAAAAUAUAACAUACGACGUAAUAAGAAUAAUUCACAGUUUAAUAAAAAUUUAAAACAGAGUGAUAGUAGGCUUACAAUUAAUUUUGCUUUCUCUGCCACCUUUGGAUCAGGGAUGUUACCAUGUUUGUCCUGUCUAGCUCUCUUCCAUAAGGUAGAUCGAUCAAUUUCUACCCAGGCAUGGUUUCCUCCAAUUGAUCCUCCAAUCCAGCAUAUCCUUUUCGAGACAAUCGAUGAUUGUACUCGAGUUUCUCCCUAAUCUGUGCAUGUUGAGAAUGCACAGACUCAAAAUCUUUGGAUAGCCUUGAAGCUACAAAGGCAUCCCAUUGUGCUUUCUCUAUGAAUUUAUAUGUUUCAGGGGGUUGGCUUAAUUUCUCCCUGUCAUUGGUGUAUGGAAGGAUAUAAUGCCUCGUUAGUGUAGACUUGAAAUCCUUCCAUUUCUUGGAAGCAGAAGCUAAAACAGAGGUCUUGCCCCCUUGGCCUACGACAAAAGCCAUGUCAACUGCUUCCCAAAUCUGCUCCUUUAUAUCCUUGGAGAUUUGGGACCAUUUCUUGUCCACAAGUGGGAUCCUGGAGCGUGCCAACACACCAAUAUACGACUGCAUCUCAAUAUGUGCUUGGCUAACACCUUUUCCCCUUUUAUUGUACUCAACAAUUGGCCUCAGUUUCUGAAGCUUUCUCUUCACAACACGAGGCAUUGUGCUCAUACCUCGACCAGUCUUUGAAUCAUCAGAGAUUGUUGUCUGGCUGGUUGGUUCUGUCUCAGCAGAUGAUGAAGCAAACUUCAUCUUCUUCGAAGACUUCAUCUCCUUCGAAGACUUGUCUUGAGGAGCUACCAUUCCAAGCUUCUUGGAGCCAGAAUCCUUAGUUUGUUGUUGAGAAACCAUUUUAACAGACAAAACUGCAAGUGAAAAUAUUUCAGGAAAACAUUAAGAACACAAACGACGGUAUUAAAAAAAUACGACGUCUGAUAUGAUUUUAGACGACGCAAUGAAAUAAUCUCAGACGUAAUAAAUGUUUAAAACCAUUAUUUAUAUAACGUCGUGGUAUAUAUGUUCACACGACGUCAAUAGUAAUACACCGUCGUGGUAAACUAUUAUUUAUAUAACGUCGUGGUAUUUAUGUUCAUAAGACGUCAAUAGUAAUACACCGUCGUGGUAUUAACAUUCACACGACGUAAAACAAUAAGAUAUUUUGUCGUCUAUAUUAGAUACCAACCCUAGUUUCUUUUUCUUUAUAUUUUAUCAAAUAAGGGAAAAACAAAAACCAUUGUUCAGAGAAAUCAAACCUGCAAUUAAACAAGCAUAUAAAAAAAGACUAUUAUUUUAAAAACAACUUUGUCAAUUUUCAGACGACGCUAGAACAACUGACGAACCGUCGUGGUCUACCGUCGUCUUAUUUAGUUGAGGUAGUUGUCUUCAAAGUUGGAAACUUUCCCUCUUUGUCUGUAUAUUUUAUCAAACUUGGAAAGAAGUAAAAUGAUUUUGGCCAGAAAAAAGGUAAAAAGAUUUUUCAAACAAAAAACGUAUGAGCAUGCAAAACAGUAACCAAAAUAGUGAAAAUGAAAGCUUACCUUUUGCGUGCAAUGAAAGCAAGAGGAAGAUGAUCGAUGUUUAAGUUCAGAGACGACGAAGAAGACGAGAGGAAGACGAUGAGAAACUCUGACAAUGCUCUGACAAGGAAAAAAGACGAAAAGGUUUCUCUGGGAGAUUGAAAUUUUUAAUCGGGUUUGGAAACAGUGCAUGUGUAAGUCGAAAAGUUGCUUACAUAUAAAACCAUUUCAAAAAAAUAAUACGGCGGUUACAUUUAACUACGUCGUUUUUAACUAAAACGACGCAAUAUUUUUCAUUCGACGUGGAAUCAUUUCAUUUAACGUCGUUAGGUUUAAUAUAACCGACGUGGAUUUUAAUUUUUAAAUUAUGAAUAGAAUUUUUUUUCCCGUGACCUUUCAGUUUAUUUUUCAAUUACAGUGCGUUAUAAAUAGAGUUUUUUUUCCGGAGGAAAUUUAAAACGAAGGAAAUUAAUAUUCUGCAAUAUGUAAAGUUUCUUUUUUGGAUGACAGAUUUAAAUAAAAUAAGAAUAUAAAAACAACAAAUGUGUAAGUCAAGUAGACGAAAAGUUGCUUACAUAUAAAACCAUUUCAAAAAAAUAAUAUGGCGGUUACAUAUAACUACGACGUAUAAAUUACAAAAUACGACGGUACAUUUAACUUCGGACGUGGUAAAUAAAUACGACAGUAGUUUGUAGGUACCGUCGUAGUAAACUCAAAAAUUAAAGUACAUAAGUAAUAACUCGCGUCAUGGUAGAUUAUUUAACACGUCGUCUUUAUUAAUUUACCGACGUGGAUUUCUGUAAUAUACGUCGAUCAUACCGACGUUGAUUUUACAAUUUAAACGGCGGUUUUUUUGUAAGGACCGCCGUUGGUUUUAAAAAUUUAUUCUAUAAAUUUGUCGCUUUCAUUCAUUUUCGGUUUACAUUUAAGGUUCCAAGUUCUUCCUCUCUCAGUCUCUCAUGUCUCAAAGACAAUAAUUUGGAUGUUUUCUCAAAGAGAAAUUGAGCUUACUCGCAUCAAAUAUAUGUCCACAAGAAGAAGCUUGUCAACUAGCCUUCUCACUUCCUUGAUCAAGCCUGAUAGGACACUUAAUGCUUCUGAAUACUCCUUGCUUUCCAUCAAAAGAGAUGCAAGCCUGGCCUCCACUCGCUGUCGAAGGAAAGUUCGCUUCUCAGGGAAAUCUGAAGAUCAGAUGUGCCUGAUCCUCUGCUUGAUUUUCUUGCCUAAGAAGAUCCGUCGGAUUUGUGAUAGCCUCUUCCUUUAUCCGUAGAGCUUCAGAAGAAGAAGAUGGGUUUCAAGAAUGCGAUAAAGAAUAGAAAUGGCUUCAGAUGGCCUCUAAAGCAUGAGCAAUUGAAUCAGUAGUUUCUGGGAGAUAUGAUGAAGACAUUGUCAAUGCUUUGAACUAUACAAGUCCUGCAAAAAGAUAUGUUAAAGAAACUGAAACAACGGCGGUUUUCUGUUCUACCGUCGUCUUUUCUCGUCGUCUAUAUUAAGUUAAGAUGGCGGUAGAUUUAUAAUUACCGACGUAGAUUAUUUUGUUAAACGUCGUUAAGUGUAUUACAACCGACGUGGAUUUUAUUUUUAAAUUAUAAAUAGAGUUUUUUUUCCCGUAUUCUUUCAGUUUUAGUUUUCAAUUCCAAAGCGUGAUAAAUAGAUUUUUCUUUCCCGAGGAAAUUUAAAAUGAGGGAAAUUAAUGUUCUAGAAUUUGUAAACUAACACGACGCAAUAUUUGCAAAUCUGUGUCAUCUGUUAAGAUUAUGAUGUGGAACAGAGUUCCAUCUGGUAAGAUUUCGUAACCCUUGGGAUCUCAGACAAAUCUGAUUAUGUCAGCGGUGUUCUAUAUAAACCGUCGUGGUUAUUUCAAUUCUUGUCAUUAAGUAGAUCUACCGACGUAGGAUAAGAAAAUCAAAGAAAAAAAUUGUUAACAAAAAUUCUUAUUAAGACGACCGUUAAAAUUAAAGGUACGACGUAUAAAAUGAAUAAAUACGACGAUAAAUUUUAUUGUACGAUUUAAAGAUAACGUCGUAGAACUAUACGAGAAUGACGUCGAUAUAUUUAUAUUUUCCGUCGUUGUAAAUUUAUUUAAUACGGCGAUAUUUUGUAUUUUAAAGCCGUGGAUUUGUUUGUAAUUAUACGGCGUCUUAUACGAAAACCUCGUCGUGUUAUUUUAUGAGUAAAAACGGCAGUUUUUAUUGAAAUCGUCGUCUUUACUUUCUACGUCGGUCGAUUCAUAACUUCUGCCGUUCUUUGUUGGCAUUGAUUUUACACUGCGGAAAUCUGUUUCAAAUAGACGUUGGUUGUUUAAUUAUGUACGUCGUUGUUUUUGAACAGCCAUUUGAAACUCCAUUUUUUAGUUGUCUAAGGUUGUAUUACACGACGGUGUUUUUAGAACCGUCGUCUUUUUAUAAACCACGACGGUUUUCACUUAGACCGUCGUUGUUUUCUAGUCGUCUUUUUCACUUUUUGUAGUAGUGACGAUAAACAUCCUCGUGAAACCACAAUCUGCUACGUUCACCAGGCUCAUUUGGUGACUCUUGAUAAACUAAUCCUCUACCCAAUUCUUCAAGCAAGUCAUGCAUCCCAAUUGUGCCAUGCUCAAUAUUUAUGAGGGCCUUGUCUACGAGUACUUUAAUAGCAUACUUAGGCUUGAGGUCACAACCUUCCAGGAUCGGUAUCACAUUGUACACCUUUCUACCUUUAAAGAAACAUGCUAUGUCAAGGAAAACUUCUUGCACUGAAUAUUCCAAUGCAUCAUAGCUUAUUUUGAGAGUUUUUUUAAUGUCCGAGUGCAGAUUCCCAUCCAAUGCAUCAUGUCACUCAUCUAUACUUCUACCACAUAGAUGAGAACCUAAAACCUUGAGAGCUAAAGGAAGACCUUGAGCAUGCUUCACCACAGUUUCUGCAGCUUUCACAUAAUCAUCAUCCAAAUUUUUAUUUCUCCCACCAUUCCAACUAAUGAAGAGAUCAAGAGAUUCACCAAAGUCUAAUUUCUUGGCCUUGUAUAUUAUACUAACUUGAUGAGAAGUUAGCAAAUGCUUAUCUCUUGUCGUUAUGAUAAUUCUACUGCCCAAACCAAACCAAUCACAACCUCCAACUAAGUUGUUUAACUGGUCCAAAUGAUCCACAUCAUCUACAAUUACAAGGACCUUUUUACGACUCAACCUUUCCUUUAUCACAUUGAUUCCUUUAUCGGCACUGGUAACCUUUAUGGUCGCUUACUGAAAAAAGCUAGUCAUGAAGUUUUCAGGGGGAGAUAUUCAUCAGGGGGAGCAUGGUAUUAAUAAAGACCUUCACACACUGUACUCUUUUUCCUUCAUCCAGGUUUUUAUCCCACUGGGUUUUUCCUGGUAAAGUUUUAACGAGGCAGUAUCGCUGAAGAUUGACUCACAGAAGCAGUGUCAACUACGAUAUUCAGAAAGAUGAUCAACAGUAUGGCUUAAAGAUAUUUUGCCAAGCAUCAGGGGGAGCGUGCUACCAAUAAAGAUCUUCAAACACUGUACUCUUUUUCCUUCGUCCAGGUUUUUAUCCCACUGGGUUUUUCCUGGCAAGGUUUUAACGAGGCAGUGUCGCACGCGUGUCAAUAUACACAGAAUUUUAUGUUACACAUGAUUAUGUACUCUUUUUCCCUUUGACCAGUUUUUGUCCCAUUGGAUUUUUACUGGCAAGGUUUUUAACGAGGCAUAUUCCAUAUCAUUUGUGGUCUCCAAGGGGGAGUGUUGUAAAUAAUAAGGUGGAGCCCACCUCCAAUUGAAAGAGGCUUUGCCUACAAAAGGGUUCACACCAUUCCUUUGUAAUUUGAGAUUGAUAAUACUAAGAGAGGAAUCCUACUGUUUCCUCCUAUCUCAAUUCCCUCUCCACUUUCUCUAGAUUUAUAACAUUUUCAACAUUUUUCAUGUAUUUUUCGGUUUCAUAUCGUGAUAUAUUGCCCAAAUAAUGCAUGAAAAAUGUUGAAAUUAUCGUCUACGACAUUAUCCCGAUAAUAUCGACAAAAAUAUUGAUAUAUUGACGAUAAUUAAGUGGAUAUGUGCAAAAAUAUCUCCCACUCAAAAAAGAAUUGACGAUAUUUAAUACUAUGGUUGUGAUCAAUGUUAUGGCUAGUACCCAAUGUUAUAUAACUCGCAAGAAAGAAUUCAACCUACCCGUAGUUUAGACAGUAACUAUUUAAUUAAAGAUUACAAUCUGGUUUGGUUAAGUUAACUGACUAUAUAUAUUCUGGAAAAAAAAAAACUGACUAUAUAUAUAUUUAUAAAUAAAUAAAAACAACUUGUGUACUUUGUUUUUGUUUGUUUAUUUGUUAAAAAAUAAUAUAUGGUUUAAUGGGUUGUCUUGUUAAGGGAAAGCAAUAAUUUAAACUUUUGGAAAAACAAUAAUCCCAAAUGUAAGAACCAUUCAUCCACUAAUAGCUUGCAAAAAUAUAAUUUAAAUGGAAAAACAAAAAACAAAUACACUAGUAAUAAGUUGGGAGAUUCAUUAUAAUACCCAAUAUAGGAGUCCAAAUUAUAAAAAAAGCCCUAUAUGAAAUAGACUUUAGAAACACACCAAAAGCUCAUUUACAACAUAACAAAAAGGCUUUUAACUUCUUUUAAAUUACAAUAUUGCCAUUGAUUUCUUAAAACAAACCCAGCCCAAAAACCUCAUAAAAAAGCCCAAAACACUCAAUGGGGCAUCGAAGUAAUUUAAUGAUUAUAAUUAAAUUCAACAGGGUCUGCUGUCAUUUUUUGGGUUUUUUUUGAGUAUGUUUAUAGAAAUUAAAUAGUGUAGGAUUUAUUUAUAGUUUUAGUGCUAAGAAUGAGUAUUUGACUAAAUAUUUCUAAUGAGUUUAUGUAUCUACUAAAACUUAAUUACAUGGAGGCAAUCUAAUGGAUCACUAAUGAUUUUUUAAUCAAAACAACCUAGUUAUAUAUAAUUACUGAAAAAAAUAAUAAUCUCAUUUUUCACGGCCCGAGAAGCGAGCAAAGGUCCUUCAACAAGUUAAACAUGUUUAGAAGGUGUCACCAAGGCACAAAACGGUCCAUAAGCAAACGAACUUUGGCAUCUGAAAGCGUAGAGGAAUCCAAGUCCCUCUGAAUCUGAGCCAUUCUGCUGCUCUCUUUUCUUGCUUCUUUCAACACUUGUCGUUGUUCUUCAACCUCAUCAUCACCUUCUCCUUGCUUGGCCUUUGAUGAAAACACCAUUCGCUUCUUAGCCCCCACCUUGUCUUUCAGCUUUGCCAACUCGCUCAUCCAAACCUCCACCACUGCAGACAUGCUUGAACUUGAAAACUUGAAAUUCUGGCUUGGUCUUGAAUCUUGAGUUUGAUCAAGGAUGAUGAGGAGAGCUGGCUAUUAUGGUUGUUGGUUAUAUAGAAGACAGAGAGAGAGAAAGAGGGCCUUGCCCUUCAUGUGGUUUGGAUUGGAUGAAAAAUCAGUUUGUCACAGACAGCCGUUGGUUAUAGGCUCGCACACAGGAUUAAGUUUUAGGAAUCUUCCUUGGAAAGAGAGAGAGAGAGAGAGAGAGAGAGAGAGACAAGAAAGGGGUAUGAGUUUUGUUGUGUGAAUGAAAAGCUUCCCCGCGGGCGGGCGACUUGGCAUAUCAUCAAUAGUAUUCCAUUGCGAAUCUCUUUCUCCGAAAUACCUAUUCACCUCUUCAUCAUCAUCUUCAGUAAAAGUAGCCAUCUUCAUUAUCUUCACAGCUGAAGUAGUCAGGUUCCGAGUCUUGCUCAUCUUCACAUAGAUCAACACAAUUAUCUCCAUCAAACCUCUCAUUAGCAUCUUCCAAGUUAUCGGAUUCAGACUCACCAUCUUCCGUAAAUAUAGACAGGUCUUCAUCAUCCUGUGUCAUUACCAGGUGGACCCCGAAGCUUUUAAAAUGCAGCGAAUCUUGUGUCAAAUUCUGGAAAUUAACUCGACACGCAAAAGGCGACUGCGGCCAGGUAAUCCGAUCAGCCCGGUAAAACAUUUCUCUGAAUCGAAUAUAGCACAGCCACACAUGACCUGACCCUAUCUUUCUGAAAUGGUAAUCGAACCGAAUAAAAUGAGGUAGCACUCCAGGCUGAUUGACGGAAAUUUUUGUUAGAAAACCAUGGUAACGUCGUCUUUUAUUUUGCGGGUUUUCAACAGCAGCGUAUAGAGCCAAUCCUUGGUUCUGGCAUUUGAAGUUUGGAGGGAUUUCAAUCAAAAAUUCACAUGAUUCAUCACGCUCCUUCACAUACUUAUGACAGCUGAACAACGUCGAGAGAGCUACAAAACUUGCUGGGAAUACAACCUGAAAUCCAUGUUUCUGUGAAGACAGAAGGUGAUCAAAGAAGAGAGUGAUCUGCUCCUUUGCUAAAAUGUUUUGCUUCUUUGUGAGGUCACGAGCCAGAUUGCCGCACAGUCUCUGGCAAUUACACAAGUCCACGAACUCAAUCAUUUGUGAGUCUUUUUUACCUUUCAAAAUGUUGGACAAUGAUGAAAACCUUUCCAAUGAUACGCAAUCACUCGCCUCUAACUUUACUAUUUUUGGUGGAAGUUCCGGAAUAUCUCGAAGCCUCUUGCAGCCAUGCAAGUAAAGAUCCCGCAAAUUGACAAAUUUCGUAAUGCAUUCGGGAAUACUUACAAGGAAAUCACUUCGUGUUAGAUCAAGCAUGCUCAAUGUAGACACACAAUCAAGAGUCCAGAGGAAAUUAAAUUCUGAUAAAUUGCUUCCUUCCAAAAUGAAUUCCUCAAGACUGGGAAGCGCUAAAGGAUGUGAUACUGCACUCCCCAAAACUUCAGACUUCACUUUAUUUGGAAAUGUAACAAGCUUUCGACUUCCUUGGAGACAAAUUUGGUUUAGAUGUUCCAACUCAUAAAUGCUGGGCGGCAGAUUCGUAAGAUUUUCACAACUUCUUAGGUCUAAAUAUUCAAGACUGAUGAGAUAGGCAAUUGACGCAGGCAAUUCUUUGAUGCCACUACCACGUAGAAACAUGCGACGUAAGGAAUCCAUCUUUCCCCCAAUUUCAGGGAAAGUCUCUAGUCUUGUGCAAUCUUCAAGAUUGAGAACUUCUAGAGAUUUUGACUUGAUUAUUGGAAAUCGUGUGAGGUUAUGGCAACUCUCAAGCCUCAAGUCCACAAGCUUAUCAUGAAAUCCAACAGAAGGAUGAACCUCAACUAAACUUGUGCAGUCGUCUAGAUUCAAGGACUGUAAGUUUGGAAUUCCAGAGAUAUUUGGUGUUUUUGUUAGGAAUUCACAACUCCUAAAAUCCAUGGACGUCAAAUUUUGCAAACGCUAAAAUAGAAAAGAAAAAGAAGGAUGAAACGAUAAGGCAUAAACAAGUUUAAGCCAUAACUCCAAAAACUUAAUAAACUUUUGAAAAUACGAAGGGAUGAAAAUAAUUUAAAUUACCUUGAAUCCCUCCCCAAGUUGUGACAAGCGGCUACAAGGCAUAUAAAGUUCAACAAGUUUCCUUGGAUUGAAAGUAGAUGGUAAAGUUUGUAAAGGACAACCAGGCCAAUGAAGAAACCUCAACUCAUUAGAUAGAUAAUCCACGUGAUCGCCAUAAAAUCGUGCAUUCACAUUGAUGAAAAGUCGAAGGUUUUUCAUCUUUGAGAAGCUGUCAUCACUCAAGCAUAUGUCAUCUGGUGUCGGAAACUUUGCUAUGAUGCCUUUAAUAUUGUUUGUUCCCUAUUAUCAAAAAUAAAAUAAAAAGUAGUGUUAACAUACAAAGCUCUAUAACAAAUAAAAAUGCAAGUGUACACACACACACAGACUUACUGUUCCUUCUGUUAGAACACGAUAAACAUCCUCGUGAAACCACAAUCUGCUACGUUCACCAGGCUCAUUUGGCGACUCUUGAUAAACUAUUCCUCUACCCAAUUCUUCAAGCAAGUCAUGCAUCCCAAUUGUGCCUUGUUCAAUAUUUAUGAGGGCCUUGUCUACGAGUACUUUAAUAGCAUACUUAGGCUUGAGGUCACAACCUUCCAGGAUCGGUAUCACAUCGUACACCUUUCUACCUUUAAAGAAACAUGCUAUGUCAAGGAAAACUUCUUGAACCGAAUAUUCCAAUGCAUCAUAACUUAUUUUGAGAGUUUUUUUAAUGUCCGAGUGCAGAUUCCCAUCCAAUGCAUCAUGCCACUCAUCUAUACUUCUACCACAUAGAUGAGAACCUAAAACCUUGAGAGCUAAAGGAAGACCUUGAGCAUACUUCAGCACAGUUUCUGCAGCUUUCACAUAAUCAUCAUCCAAAUUUUUAUUUCUCCCACCAUUCCAACUAAUGAAGAGAUCAAGAGAUUCACCAAAGUUUAAUUUCUUGGCCUUGUAUAUUAUACUAACUUGAUGAGAAGUUAGCAAAUGCUUAUCUCUUGUCGUUAUGAUGAUUCUACUGCCCAAACCAAACCAAUCACAACCUCCAACUAAGUUGUUUAGCUGGUCCAAAUGAUCUACAUCAUCUACAAUUACAAGGACCUUUUUACAACUCAACCUUUCCUUUAUCACACUGAUUCCUUUAUCGGCACUGGUAACCUUUAUUUCCUUUCCCCUUAGAAUCUCAUAAAGAAGAAGAUUUUGUAGGUCGACUAGGCCUCCAUAUGGUAUUGAUCUUUCUCUUACAUUUUCCAGAAAACAACUCCCUUCAUACACAUGGGCCAGUGAGUUAUAAACAGCUUUAGCAAGAGUUGUCUUUCCUAUUCCACCAUUCCCCCAUAUUCCUACCAUGCGAACAUCAUUUCCGUCAACAUCUAAAACUUUAUGAAGAUCUUGUACACGAGCCUCUAUUCCGACUUGGUAUUUUGCCACAUUGAUAUGGGUAUCAUAUAAUACUUGUAAGGAAAUCUCGUUGACAAUGUUCUGAAUAAAUUUAGUUUCACGGCUGCCAAUUUCAAGAACAAACAACAUUUAAAUAAAAUAGGAUUUUUCUAUAUAUGUUUUAAAGAGAUGCUCGACUCGAUACUAGUGUAAAUUAUGUCGUGAAUCUAUAUAUAUAAAGCAAAAGGCAAAGAAUGAUGAAACAUUCAAAAUAUCAAAAAAUGGUAGAACUAUAGUAUUACACAUGUAUAUUACACGAAGCCUUGUAGUCUCCUCUGUUUCUAUAUUACUUUGUUUCUAUUAGAUUGUGUGAGGCUUAGAUAUAAGACUAGUGUUUGGCUUUCUAGUAGAUUUCUUAGUUACAAUACACAUUACAACACUUCAAUCCUAUUUAUUUGCAAGUUUUCCGGCAAGACUGCCGACUUGACCAACCGUCAUGUCUACGACUUGGCUUUAUCAAAUAUUAUCAGCCACAUAAGCUGCGGCUUGCUCUAGACUAGAGCAUUUUACAAAACUCCUUAUUUGUUUAGCCGGCAUAGUUCACCGACUUGGUCAUUUAGUCCAGUAGAAACCCCAUAUUUUUAAAUAUGUAUAUUAAUAUUUUGUAAAAUUAUUUAUUUAUAAUUAUUAGUUUUCAAAACUAUAUAAUUGAUAAUAUAUAUAUUAGUUGGAUGGCAAGUUACGUGAAUCUAAAAAUUAACUAGUAUAGCCUAUCAUAUCUUAUUGCAAGGCUUUAACUAAAUCAAUUCAUUCCAACCUUAUUUAAUAUUUAUUAUAUACACACACUUUACAAAAGCAUUUAGAAAGAUUUUUUGUUUGCUUACUAAGCUUGGUAAUAUUAUUUGAUUAUUAUCUUUGAUAUUGGUUGUUUACAUGUUGUCAAUUAUCAUUAUAAUUUGAUUAAUAUUGACAUAUUCAUAUGUUAUCUGUGGUGUUUGGAAUUCUUGGGUUAGUAAAACAAAUUAUGGAAAAGAGGGUAAUGGAAAGGUUCUUUUGUGUAGUUGAGUCUGACCAUUGCAGGGACCAAGUUCAGGCGAGCUCGUGUGCAUCGUAGAUUAGGAAAUCGGCGGUAUAAAUGUCGAUUGGGUGAUUUGAGCUUGGAGAUCAUUGGUUGUAGACAAGAUGACUAGCAAAAGGGGAAUUAUGGGAUAACUGAGAUGGGUGCUAGUUUAUAUAAUGGGGCAUUCGGAAUCACAGUGGUAAAAUGCAUGGUAUGGGACAUGCAAAUUUGCUUGCCCUAUUAUAUAGAUUAACGGGUUGGGAAAAAUUGAAGUUCAUUCAUGCAUUGCAUAAAUUGUACAUUAUAAAUCUCACUAAUCACAUAAAACAUAGGACCCCUACUCAGCAUGUAGUGCUCACCACUAAUUGAAACUAUUGCAGGUUUUGAAUCUAAAGUUUAGUUUGUGACGAGGAAACAAGAAGAAUGAGUUGUGGAUAGUUUUGAAUGUUUUGUUGAAAGUUUGUUACUUUCUUUUUAUUUUAUUUGUAAAAUUACAACGUUAAUUACUUUGAUUUAAAUAGAAGUUUAUGUUCAAUCUUCAUGUUUCUUGAUAUUUUAUUUUUUUUAAUUUUAAUUUUUCUUUUACCUCACACUCCAAAUAUAAAAAAAUGAUUGGGAUGUGACACUACUACAAUUAUCUUAGAUAUAUGAUAGCUAUUGUAGCACUUUGGGAUUCUAAAUUAUUAGUCUAGAGAUUUCUACCAAAUGUCCAUCACAUUUGAACAGUUACAACAACAGAUUCUGCAACAGUGGGAGAAAUAAAUUGAAAUUAAAGCAGGGCCUCCGGAUCCUAAAUGUAUAUUAAAGAUAGAAAUAUACCGCAUUUAGAAAAGAAAUAUAUAUAUUUAUAAAUAAAUAAACAUACCCCUCCAAGUAAUGCGACCCAGACAAAUUUGCAGCUUCUGUAAGGGUUUCCUUCCAUCUCAGCACCUUCUUCAUAUUGUCCUCGAAUUUACUUUCAUCAUGGUUAGUAAGUCUCUGUUCUUUGAAUUUGCGUUCAUGGUUAUUCAGUGCCUCGCCAUAACUACCUCUUUGGUUCCUUACAUCUGAGGGAUCCACUUUGUAGAAAACUGGCCAAACCAUCUGUUGCUUUGAUUUUCUACACUGAAUGAUAUGAACAAGUUCAUCCAAGCACCACUUCGAGGAUGCAUAGUUUUCAGAGAAUACGAUGAUGGAACACCUCGAUCCUUCAAUUGCAUCAAGAAGUGCUUGUGAUAUUUCUUCUCCUCUUGGGAGCUCAUCAUCUAUGAAGGUUCUGAUGCCCCUCUGGACCAAAUUUUUGUGUAGAUGGUCUGUGAAAUUGUAGCGUGUGUCCUCACCUCUAAAGCUGAGAAACACAUCGUGUGUCCAUGAAUUGGUGAAAGAAGAAGAAGAAGAAGGGGAAGGAGCUCCUAAUAAUUGAGUGGUGCUUAGAUCCAUAUUGUUGAAAAUUGAACAGGCUGAAAGGGUUGGAAAUUAUGGUGAUUUAUUGUCCAAGAGUUUCUGGUUGGCAAUGUCAGUGGAGAGAAGAAACAUGCGAGUGAAAAAUCUUGGUCUUUCUGGGCCCCAAGAGCUCCUACCCCUGCUGGGUCUCUCUAGACCCGAGGGACAGUUUAACCAAAAAUAAACGUAGUAAUAAUAACACACUGGUAACAGCACUCUCACCCAAUUGUCAUGACAAAUAGCAAGGGUUGUUACUAUUUAUGCAAAAUUGAUCAAAGAAAGUAUUCGGUACUCUAUCAUUAAGACAAUUUACGCCCCACUACAUUGCUCAUGGUUGCGUUUGUCUCCUAAGAUACAACCACCACUUACAAUUGUAACUUUUUUCAUUUUACAUUUCAAACUUCAAAUCCAGUCGGCAAUUAGACCAGUAUUAUGCAGUUACAUAAAAAUUUGAAUGCAAACCCUUUGUGUCUAGAAACAAUUCUGCACUAAAAAUAGUUUUCAGUUCAACAUUGGUCGUGUGUGUUUAUUUUCUUGUCUCACCACAACAACUUCCAAAACCACAGCAAAGCUAGCUACAGUCAUUUUGUCACAAAAUUGUUCGUUUGUUAAAAAUAGUUUAUGGUUUAAUGGUUUGUUCUGUUAAGGGAAAGCUUGGUUGCAAUAAUUAAACUUUUGGUUUAUAUAUAAUUUCUUUAAAUCCAAAUGUAAGAACCAUUAAUUCAUCCGCUAAUAGCUUGCAAAAAUAUGAUUAAAAUGGAAAAACAAAAAACAAAUACACAUCAAAUUAAUAGUACAGUUAUAUAUAUGCAAGAUUAGACUAAUAUUUUAAACAUGUUUACAAGGUGUUCACCAAGGCACAAAACGGUCCAUAAGCAAACAGACUGUGGCCUCUGAAAGCGUAGAGGAAUCCAAGUCCCUCUGAAUCUGAGCCAUUCUGCUGCUCUCUUUUCUUGCUUCUUUCAACACUUGUUCUUCUUCAACCUCAUCAUCAC